This 486-nucleotide ribosomal RNA is filed under the name uncultured bacterium. RNAcentral's name for it is "partial 16S ribosomal RNA". It matches the Rfam family "Bacterial small subunit ribosomal RNA", at positions 28 to 507 of the family's 1533-position model. The record is from RNAcentral.
GAUGAACGCUGGCGGCGUGCCUAAUACAUGCAAGUCGAACGCUGGAAAUCUAGCUUGCUCGAUUGAAGGAGUGGCGAACGGGUGAGUAAUACAUAAGCAACCUACCCACGAAGACUGGGAUAAUCUCUGGAAACGGGGACUAAUACCGGAUAGGUAAUCGGAAGGCAUCUUCUGAUUAUUAAAGGUUAAAAACACUGGUGGAUGGGCUUAUGGCGCAUUAGUUAGUUGGUGAGGUAACGGCACACCAAGACGAUGAUGCGUAGCCGGCCUGAGAGUGUGAACGGCCACAUUGGGACUGAGACCCGGCCCAGACUCCUACGGGAGGCAGCAGUAGGGAAUUUUCAGCAAUGGGGGAAACCCUGACCGAGCAACGCCGCGUGAGUGAUGACGGCCUUCGGGUUGUAAAGCUCUGUUGUAAGGGAAGAACGGUAGAUAGAGAAUAUCUAAAUGACGGUACCUUACCAGAAAGCCACGGCUAACUACGUG